GCCGGGCGUGGUGGCGGGCGCCUGUAGUCCCAGCUACUUGGGAGGCUGAGACAGGAGAAUUGCUUGAACCCGGGAGAUGGAGUUUGCAGUGAGCGGAGAUCAGGCCACUGCACUCCAGCGUGGGUGACAGAGCGAGACUCUGUCUUAA
Molecule: non-coding RNA, 148 nt
Filed under: Pan troglodytes (chimpanzee)
Lineage: Eukaryota; Metazoa; Chordata; Mammalia; Primates; Hominidae
Source: Rfam by way of RNAcentral